GUCUCUGAGAAAGAGCUGUCUUCCCAACACCUGGACAGGUAACUCUCAAUAACAGAUUGCUCAUCACUUGUUAUGCAACUAAAAAGGCUGUUGUUUUUGUUCCAGAUGCUGUCAAACAAGAGAAGAGAUGUCUGAGUUCUCCGGAGAAAUGCAUACUGUGUUUGCCCACCUGAAGUGGAUCUGGUCCAAAUACACACCUGUGAAUCUCAUCUCAGCCAAUUACCAUCCAAAUAAGCAUCAGCUGGGAGCUGGAAUGGCCGGAUUAUGAAAAUGCAGGAACUCUGCUCUGUUAUUAUGAAAUAAAAUGUCAGAGACUCAAUGAAUUAACCGUAAAAGGGAUUCAGGCUUCACGAUCUUGUUGCAUUAAAGAGAGUCACAUCUCCUGCUGCUACUGACCCCGUCUGACAACGAGACUAACCGUGACUUACAUCAUCAAAAAGGAUGAAUCAUCUUAUCACAGUCAAAGUGUCUUUGAAAGUCAAGAGGUGCUAAACUACCCUAUCCAUUUAUAACUCUGAGUAACAAACAGAAUAAUUAUUCUGUACAGCCACUGAAAUAUUAUUUAUAGAGCAUUUCUUUAGGAGUUGAUUUAAAAAUGUUGUCCUUAUCAAUGGCAGGUAGGUGUAGAUUUACAUUAGCAAGCACUUAAAGUCCCCCUGUGGUGAAAAUCAAGUUUUUAAUGUUGUUUAAGGCAAACCAUGUGCAAAUUCAUAAAUCAACACCAUUGCUGAGUAUUUUCUAUUUAAAACUGCAGUGAUCUAAAGACAGUUCAAAAAUGCGGUUUGAAAUCACUGGUGUUUCUGACGUCACAAACUUGUAACCAAUCACGUCAACGUGCCGGCGGGCUUUAGCAUAUCAUUAACCAUGAGUGCUCUGAAGCAGGAGUCUCAAAAAGCCAGGUUAUUCCAGUAUAUUUUUCUGUUGAUAUAAAAAAAUCAUGUAGAUUUAGCAAUAUGGCGGGUGUCUGAUGUAUAUUACGAUGCUAUGAUGCUUCUCCACUGACGUUCUAAAGUGUUCAAAGCGUUUCUAAGGAUACUGAUUUUUAGAAGACAGCUGUCUGACUUGCGAACGGGAACACGGUUUGUUUGUGUAACAUUAGCAACACAUUAUUAGCAGCUGUUUGAUAAUGUAGUCAAGCAAAAGGCUAAUCAUAUUAAUUACCGUUAUGUGUCCGACGUUGUAAAAAACGAUACCAUUGUGCAGUGUUUACUACAGUAAGUUGACCAAGUGGAUCUCUGAGCUUGUGCGAGUGAGUGGAGGCGGGGCUAAUUAGCAUAUUCAUAGUUCCACGUAUAAUAAAUGAAGCAAGGGUGUAGAGUUACAUUCAAGAUAUUUUAAGAUGAGAAGAAUUUUUUUUUUCCACAGGAAAAAAUAGGAAUAAAUGUAUCAUUUUGGUGAUCAAAGAUGAGUUUUAAGGUAUAAAAUUAUUCACUACAGGGGGACUUUAAAUUGAAAGCACACACUUUUCUAAGUAUAAACCUCUGCAAAACAGUGGUUUAAACAUGAGGGAUUCACAAUAUAAAGAAUAAUUCACCCAAACAGGA
Molecule: long non-coding RNA, 1544 nt
Organism: Ctenopharyngodon idella (grass carp)
Lineage: Eukaryota; Metazoa; Chordata; Actinopteri; Cypriniformes; Xenocyprididae
Exons: 2
Source: RefSeq, a predicted model, not a curated record